CAGCAGCCACGGUAAUACGUAGGGUGCAAGCGUUAAUCGGAAUUACUGGGCGUAAAGCGUGCGCAGGCGGUUCGCUAAGACAGAUGUGAAAUCCCCGGGCUUAACCUGGGAACUGCAUUUGUGACUGGCGGGCUAGAGUAUGGCAGAGGGGGGUAGAAUUCCACGUGUAGCAGUGAAAUGCGUAGAGAUGUGGAGGAAUACCGAUGGCGAAGGCAGCCCCCUGGGCCAAUACUGACGCUCAUGCACGAAAGCGUGGGGAGCAAACAGGAUUAGAUACCCGAGUAGUCCCUGUCUCUUAUAC
This 301-nucleotide ribosomal RNA is filed under the name uncultured bacterium. RNAcentral's name for it is "partial 16S ribosomal RNA". It matches the Rfam family "Bacterial small subunit ribosomal RNA", at positions 509 to 807 of the family's 1533-position model. The record is from RNAcentral.